UCCCAUAUGGUCUAGUGGCCAGGAUUCCUGAUUUUUCACCCAGGUGGCCUGGGUUCGACUCCCAGUAUGAGAA
This is a non-coding RNA of Pangasianodon gigas (Mekong giant catfish), 73 nucleotides long. NCBI's taxonomy places the organism in Eukaryota, Metazoa, Chordata, Actinopteri, Siluriformes, Pangasiidae. The record is from the annotation of a GenBank genome assembly.